CAUAAAAUGUAUCGCAUAAGAAUGAGACACAAAUUUAAUGUAUCAAAUGGAAAUGGUAUGAAUGAAAAUUACUCUGCAUGCAAAUGCGCAGUUACGUUAGAGAAGGAAAGUAGCCGUAGGUCUUAGGUACGUUUUAUUUGCGGUUGCGCAAAAACAAAACAGCUGUUAUUGAUUGUUACUUACAUCGAACGUAUAAAUGGAUUAAUUAAUACGUUCAUCAAUUUUGAGAAGGCAAGGGAUUUAUUGGGUUAUUUUCUGUCGGUCACACGUGACCUUUACAGUUUUUACGUACAUAUUCGGAUUUGCACCUGCUGCGCAAUAUUGUUUAAUAUAAAGCAAGAAAAAGGCCGAUGGAAAUCGAAAGAUGUGCAAGAGGCGCCGGGUCCCCUUAACAAUAAAUUGGAGGUGUACGCUGUCGCUAUAAAAAUAGUUACAGGUUCGUGGGAAUUAAUAAUGGAUAAAGAGUCCAGAGAUAAACCGUUAGUUAAUGGAACGAAGCUCAUGUUCUACGACUCUUGUAAGGAACAAGCACAUCGACAAGUUGAUGCUCCUUCGUAAUGGAAAUUGUGUCGAGUUCAAUCGUGAUAUAUCUACUAACACGAUAAGUUAAAUAUGUAAUCUCCAUUGAAUGAGAGAUUUGUAUAUUUACAAGAUGCUAAUACAUGUACCUGUGUAGAAACACGAGCAUGUGAGACAUUGUUAGACACGUAUCUCGUUCUGUUUGAUGGGUGCACCGUAGUAUGUAAACGAUGACGUCGCUAACAAAGUUACACAAAGAUUGUCAAAAAAAAUUUGUAUCCUGAUAAUUAAAUGAUUAUCCUA
Photinus pyralis (common eastern firefly) is the source of this 822-nucleotide long non-coding RNA. RefSeq lists it as uncharacterized. Lineage: Eukaryota; Metazoa; Arthropoda; Insecta; Coleoptera; Lampyridae. The record is from RefSeq and is a predicted model, not a curated record. The transcript has 3 exons.